GAUUUAAUCUUUAAAAGAAAAGCGUAUCCUUUUCUGGCCCUAUUUUGCUCAAUUUAUAAUUUCACUAAUUUGAA
Molecule: transfer RNA, 74 nt
Filed under: Prunus zippeliana
Lineage: Eukaryota; Viridiplantae; Streptophyta; Magnoliopsida; Rosales; Rosaceae
Description: tRNA-Asp
Source: RNAcentral